RNAcentral lists this ribosomal RNA (493 nucleotides) under uncultured bacterium. RNAcentral describes it as "partial 16S ribosomal RNA". It matches the Rfam family "Bacterial small subunit ribosomal RNA", at positions 355 to 845 of the family's 1533-position model. The record is from RNAcentral.
UAGGGAAUCUUCCACAAUGGACGCAAGUCUGAUGGAGCAACGCCGCGUGAGUGAAGAAGGUCUUCGGAUCGUAGAGCUCUGUUGUUGGUGAAGAAGGAUAGAGGCAGUAACUGGUCUUUAUUUGACGGUAAUCAACCAGAAAGUCACGGCUAACUACGUGCCAGCAGCCGCGGUAAUACGUAGGUGGCAAGCGUUGUCCGGAUUUAUUGGGCGUAAAGCGAGCGCAGGCGGAAUGAUAAGUCUGAUGUGAAAGCCCACGGCUCAACCGUGGAACUGCAUCGGAAACUGUCAUUCUUGAGUGCAGAAGAGGAGAGUGGAACUCCAUGUGUAGCGGUGGAAUGCGUAGAUAUAUGGAAGAACACCAGUGGCGAAGGCGGCUCUCUGGUCUGCAACUGACGCUGAGGCUCGAAAGCAUGGGUAGCGAACAGGAUUAGAUACCCUGGUAGUCCAUGCCGUAAACGAUGAGCGCUAGGUGUUGGGGGACUUUCCGGUG